UACUUUGGUUGUUUCUCAGCAACAACCAUGUUGGCAAGGCGCCGGGAAUACCUUUACCUAGGGGGUUUGCUUUCUUAUGGCCUUUCUAUGCUAAUUUGGUUACACUUUGCUUCUUCUGUCUUUGGGGGUUCUGCAGCUCUUUUCAAGUUUGAGCUGUAUUUCAGUCUUGUUGCUGUGUUUGUCCGUAUACUGGUUAUCAUGUUGAAGAACUCGGCCGAGAAGAAUGAGAAUAAGAAGAAAAGAAAGGAUUGAUGCUCCUCCUGUAACCCUGGUGAUGCAAAGCAAUGCAAAAUGAGAUCAUCACUUGUCUAUAUAGAGUUUUCCAUGUGA
Long non-coding RNA from Malus domestica (apple), 330 nucleotides. RefSeq lists it as uncharacterized. The record is from RefSeq and is a predicted model, not a curated record. Lineage: Eukaryota; Viridiplantae; Streptophyta; Magnoliopsida; Rosales; Rosaceae.